AUCCCAUGAUGAGGACACGUACAAAGUAAUUCCUUGAAUCUUUUCCACGCCUCCUAUAGUGAACCGUCAUCUAAUUGUUGGAAAAUAGUUAUCUCAUUACGCACUUU
This is a small nucleolar RNA of Gossypium raimondii (Peruvian cotton), 107 nucleotides long. It matches the Rfam family "Plant small nucleolar RNA R71". Rfam says of the family: R71 is a member of the C/D box family of snoRNAs containing the C (UGAUGA) and D (CUGA) box motifs. Multiple nearly identical copies of this snoRNA have been identified in Arabidopsis, and it is thought to function as a 2'-O-ribose methylation guide for 18S ribosomal RNA. Lineage: Eukaryota; Viridiplantae; Streptophyta; Magnoliopsida; Malvales; Malvaceae. The record is from Rfam.